CCGAACACGGAAGUUAAGCUCACCUACGUGUGGACGAGUACUGGCGUGGGCGACCCGCUGGGAAAGUUGACUCGCCGUCUCUC
This 83-nucleotide ribosomal RNA is filed under the name Halolamina pelagica. Lineage: Archaea; Methanobacteriati; Methanobacteriota; Halobacteria; Halobacteriales; Haloferacaceae. The record is from RNAcentral.